GGGUUCCACUUUUUUUUUUUUUUUUUUUUUUUUUUAUAAUACUGGUUGGUGUUUAAUAUGGGGCCCAUAAUUUUUUUUAACAUUGUUUGUUUUUUUAAUAUGGGAUUCACUUUUUUUUUUUUUUUUUAAUAUUGCUUGAUUUUGUUAAUAUGAGGUCUACUUUUUUUUUUCCCGUGAGUUUGGAUGUGGUGGGUUCCACUUUUUUUUUUUUUUUUUUUUUUAAUACUGGUUGGUGUUUAAUAUGGGGCCCACAAUUUUUUUAAAAUAUUAAUUGUUGUUUAAUAUAUAUGGGACCCACAAUUUGUUUUGCUUGAUUCUGUUACUAUGGGGUUCACUUUUUUUUUCCCGUGAGUUUGGAUGUGGUGGGUUACACUUUUUUUUCUUCUCCUUUUUUUUUUAAUACUUGUUCAAUUUUUUUUAACAUUAUUUUUUUUAAUAUGGAAUUCAUUUUGUUUUUAAUAUUGCUUGAUUUUUUUAAUAUGGGGUCCACUUUUUUUUCCCGUAAGUUUGGAUGUGAUGGGUUCCAUCAGUUUUUUUUAAUACUGGUUGGUAUUUAAUAUGGGGCCCAUAAUAUUUUUUUAAUAUUAGUUAUUAUUUAAUAUAUAUAGGGCCCAUAAUUUUUUUUUUACAUUUUAUUUUUAAUUUUUGUUAUGGACCUGUUUAAUAUGGGGCUCAAUAUUUUUUUUAUUUGUUUUGGACGACAACGGACGACAAAAGGCACCCAAGGUGCUUCUAAAUAGUAGGAAUAGUAAAGUAAUAAUAAAGUAAAGUAAAGUAAUAGUAAUUAUACUGACUGCUUUCUGUGGGUAAGUUGUACUGGCAACGGCUCUUUCAGAGCUCUUCUCCGGCAUGAACCCACCGCAAAUUUUCCCUCCGGCGAGAGCGACGACUGAUCUCAUACGGGCCCAAGCUAAUGUACCCAUUGAUCCUAACUCUGUUUCCGAUUCCGACAAAAACAAAGUCAAUUUUCAGGUCACCGGAAAUCCACAAGGGGAAAUCGGUGGUCUCUUUCACCAUUCAAGAAGAAGCCGAGCUCACUAAAGAUUGUAAAUUUACCUAAUUGGUAAAUUCUCCCAUGGAAGACCAUCGAUUGAAGAUAUUAGGACCGAUUUUGAUGCUCGAUUCACAGUAAAAGGCAAGGGAAAUGAUGUGGGCACUCAGUACAGGUCUGGGAUUUACUUCUACACACCCGAGCAAGAGAAGGCAGCACUAGAAUCCCGAGACCGACAGCAAAAGCUUCUGAACAGGAAGAUUGUUACUGAGAUUUUGCCCGCUAAGAAAUUUUACAGAGCCGAGGAAUAUCAUCAGCAGUACCUUGCAAAGGGGGGUCGGUUUGGCUCAAAGCAGUCUGCUGACAAAGGGUGCAAUGAUCCUAUCCGAUGCUAUGGUUAAGACCUUUUCAUUUGAAGAACAAAAAUAAAGUUAGAUGUGUUUAUUCUUCUAAGCUAUGCUUGUUAUUAUAGGCUUUAAAUUGUGCUUCUCCUACCCGCUUAUGCUUGCUUCUGGAAAAUCCAAUGGUUGUAGCUUCACCAUAGAUUUGUAAUGUAUAUAUGGUUGCAGAUUCGUGUCGUUUCAUGUUUGUAUAUGUUUAUUGAUGCCCUCGCCAUAAGUUGGAAUAGUGUCUGUCGAUCACCUGGGUCGAGUUGAAGUUAUGAAAGCCAAUGGCGGGCUUAAUUAUA
Long non-coding RNA from Lycium barbarum (goji berry), 1679 nucleotides. RefSeq lists it as uncharacterized. The transcript has 2 exons. NCBI's taxonomy places the organism in Eukaryota, Viridiplantae, Streptophyta, Magnoliopsida, Solanales, Solanaceae. The record is from RefSeq and is a predicted model, not a curated record.